GACGAACGCUGGCGGCGUGCCUAAUACAUGCAAGUUGAGCGCUGAAGGUUGGUACUUGUACCAACUGGAUGAGCAGCGAACGGGUGAGUAACGCGUGGGGAAUCUGCCUUUGAGCGGGGGACAACAUUUGGAAACGAAUGCUAAUACCGCAUAAAAACUUUAAACACAAGUUUUAAGUUUGAAAGAUGCAAUUGCAUCACUCAAAGAUGAUCCCGCGUUGUAUUAGCUAGUUGGUGAGGUAAAGGCUCACCAAGGCGAUGAUACAUAGCCGACCUGAGAGGGUGGUCGGCCACAUUGGGACUGAGACACGGCCCAAACUCCUACGGGAGGCAGCAGUAGGGAAUCUUCGGCAAUGGACGAAAGUCUGACCGAGCAACGCCGCGUGAGUGAAGAAGGUUUUCGGAUCGUAAAACUCUGUUGGUAGAGAAGAACGUUGGUGAGAGUGGAAAGCUCAUCAAGUGACGGUAACUACCCAGAAAGGGACGGCUAACUACGUG
RNAcentral lists this ribosomal RNA (497 nucleotides) under uncultured bacterium. RNAcentral describes it as "partial 16S ribosomal RNA". It matches the Rfam family "Bacterial small subunit ribosomal RNA", at positions 28 to 507 of the family's 1533-position model. The record is from RNAcentral.